RNAcentral lists this non-coding RNA (555 nucleotides) under Arabidopsis thaliana (thale cress). The record is from RNAcentral. Lineage: Eukaryota; Viridiplantae; Streptophyta; Magnoliopsida; Brassicales; Brassicaceae.
GCCGUAGGCUUCUUCACUGUGAAGCAAACACAAGUUUUUGACAGAAGAGAAGAACACAUACACUCAAGAUCUCGAUGCAAUUCUCACACGAAUAAGGUGGCUAAUUAAGUAGUGGGAGAGUCACCGGAAGAUUGUCGGAGAUUUGUCCAGCAGGUGACAUCUCCAUCUCAGCUUCUGCUCCUACAUGAUGAUUAUUCUCCAUCUGUACGAUAAUCAUAGAAAAAAAACACAAACAAACACAGAACCGAGAAACAACAAGAGAUCCGCCGGAAAAAAACCAAACGGUAAGGAAAAGGCGUACUUAUCGCCGGAGGAGAAGCUGUAGAGCUUGCCGGAGGCGGAGACGACGAGAAGAGCGACGGAUGCGUCACAGAGAACAGAAAGCUGACGAGCUUUCUCGAUGAGACCGUUGCGACGUUUGGAGAAGGUGACUUGUCGGCUACUUUUGUUCUCAAUUCGCUUGAUUUCUAGUUUUUUUCUUCCCAUGGCUUCUCUCCGAGAGGGCUUUGUGCCCUAAUUUGAUCCUCAGGUUUGGGUUCAAGUCGCCGGAGAUAC